GACGAACGCUGGCGGCGUGCUUAACACAUGCAAGUCGAACGGAAAGGCCCUGCUUUUGUGGGGUGCUCGAGUGGCGAACGGGUGAGUAACACGUGAGUAACCUGCCCUUGACUUUGGGAUAACUUCAGGAAACUGGGGCUAAUACCGGAUAGGAGCUCCUGCUGCAUGGUGGGGGUUGGAAAGUUUCGGCGGUUGGGGAUGGACUCGCGGCUUAUCAGCUUGUUGGUGGGGUAGUGGCUUACCAAGGCUUUGACGGGUAGCCGGCCUGAGAGGGUGACCGGCCACAUUGGGACUGAGAUACGGCCCAGACUCCUACGGGAGGCAGCAGUGGGGAAUAUUGCACAAUGGGCGGAAGCCUGAUGCAGCAACGCCGCGUGCGGGAUGACGGCCUUCGGGUUGUAAACCUCUUUCAGUAGGGAAGAAGCGAAAGUGACGGUACCUGCAGAAGAAGCACCGGCUAACUACGUG
RNAcentral lists this ribosomal RNA (468 nucleotides) under uncultured bacterium. RNAcentral describes it as "partial 16S ribosomal RNA". It matches the Rfam family "Bacterial small subunit ribosomal RNA", at positions 28 to 507 of the family's 1533-position model. The record is from RNAcentral.